This 493-nucleotide long non-coding RNA is filed under the name Bos indicus x Bos taurus (hybrid cattle). RNAcentral's name for it is "lncRNA (ENSBIXG00005019812.1)". The record is from RNAcentral. Lineage: Eukaryota; Metazoa; Chordata; Mammalia; Artiodactyla; Bovidae.
GUCCCAUUUAUCAUCUUCCGUCAGAGGUCUUCACCACUGCCAUAAUGGGAAUUUAUUGUAUGGCUUUGUGAGGACAGAUGGUCGGGAAGGAAACACUUUUCUUCAGCAUCUCCACAGAAGGCCUCCUUGGGGCUUGGUGCUCCCGUCUCAGCCUCCAAAGGUGGGCUCCAGUCUCCUGGGUCAGUUAGAAGGGCAACUUCAAGGACCAUCAGAUUUCACUCAAGAGUUGGUGGUGGAUUUGUCUGUCUCCUUGUUUGGAAUGUGAGAGAAGUUUAAUAUCUUGACAGCAUGGUCUGUCACUUAACAGCUGUAUGAACUUGGGUAAGUUAGGUAACCUCUCUGGCCUCAGUUUCCUCAUCUGUCAAAUGGGAUAAUACAUAAUGGUAUUGACCCCAUAGUUUUUUUCUGAAGAUUGAACGAGUUGAUCUUUGUACAGCACCGGGCACAUCGUGAAGACUCAGUAAAUGUGAGCGGCUACCAUCACCACCACCAC